RNAcentral lists this ribosomal RNA (694 nucleotides) under Xylographa stenospora. Its description in RNAcentral is "partial small subunit ribosomal RNA". It matches the Rfam family "Bacterial small subunit ribosomal RNA", at positions 467 to 1217 of the family's 1533-position model. The record is from RNAcentral. Lineage: Eukaryota; Fungi; Ascomycota; Lecanoromycetes; Baeomycetales; Xylographaceae.
AUAUGACAUUUUCUAUCUAUGUGUCUUGACCAAGUCACGUGCCAGCAGUCGCGGUAAUACGUGGAAGACUAGUGUUAUUCAUCUUUAAUGGGUUUAAAGGGUACCUAGACGGUCUAUUAAGCCUUAAAGGGUACUUACAGACUAGAGUUUGAUGAGAGGGGGGAAGUACGAGAGAGUGUAGAGAUGAAAUUCUGUCAUACCUUACUUGGAACAGGCAACGGCGAAAGCAACUCCUUAUGUAAAAACUGACGUUGAAGGACGAAGGCUUGGGACACCAACAGGAUUAGAUACCCCAGCAGUCCUUGCAGACAAUGAUGAAUGUCAUAGAUUGGAAUUAAAUAUCUUUUUUUUUUAAAUAUCUUUUUGUCUAUAAAUGAAAGUGUAAGCAUUCCACCUCAAGAGUAAUGUGGCAACGCAAAAACUGAAAUCAUUAAACCGUUUCUGAAACCAGUAGUGAAGUAUGUUGUUUAAUUUGGUGACCCGCAAAACACCUUACCACAAUUUGAAUAUUUUUAUAUUUAUAAAAAUACAAGCGUUGCACGGCUGUCUUCAGUUAAUGUCGUGAGAUUUUGGUUAGUUCCAUAAAAUUAACGUAAACCCUUACUUUAUUUUUACUAUAGAGUAGUUCACCGCUAUAUUGGAUACGAUAACAGGGAAUAAAACAAGUCAAUAUGGCCUUAAUAUUGUGGGCUAU